Molecule: ribosomal RNA, 401 nt
Filed under: uncultured bacterium
Lineage: Bacteria
Description: bacterial SSU rRNA
Rfam family: Bacterial small subunit ribosomal RNA
Source: RNAcentral
UUGGGAAUCUUGGACAAUGGGGGAAACCCUGAUCCAGCCAUGCCGCGUGAGUGAUGAAGGCCUUCGGGUUGUAAAACUCUUUCGCGCACGACGAUAAUGACGGUAGUGCGAGAAGAAGCUCCGGCUAGCUUCGUGCCAGCAGCCGCGGUAAUACGAAGGGGGCUAGCGUUGUUCGGAAUUACUGGGCGUAAAGCGCGCGCAGGCGGUCUUCCAAGUCAGUGGUGAAAGCCCGGAGCUCAACUCCGGAACUGCCAUUGAAACUGUUGGACUUGAGGAUGAGAGAGGUGAGUGGAAUUCCCAGUGUAGAGGUGAAAUUCGUAGAUAUUGGGAAGAACACCGGUGGCGAAGGCGGCUCACUGGCUCAUUACUGACGCUCAGGCGCGAUAGCGUGGGGAUCAAAC